Molecule: small nucleolar RNA, 70 nt
Organism: Clupea harengus (Atlantic herring)
Lineage: Eukaryota; Metazoa; Chordata; Actinopteri; Clupeiformes; Clupeidae
Product: Small nucleolar RNA SNORD2
Source: Ensembl
GUGUGAAAUGAUGGUAACCAUCUUUCGGGACUGACUGACUUGAUGAUAACUUUUAAAAAGCUGAUCACAC